UACGUAGGGCGCAAGCGUUGUCCGGAAUUAUUGGGCGUAAAGAGCUCGUAGGCGGUCUGUCGCGUCUGCUGUGAAAACUCAGGGCUUAACCCUGAGCUUGCAGUGGGUACGGGCAGACUAGAGUGCGGUAGGGGAGACUGGAAUUCCUGGUGUAGCGGUGAAAUGCGCAGAUAUCAGGAGGAACACCGGUGGCGAAGGCGGGGUCUCUGGGCCGUAACUGACGC
Molecule: ribosomal RNA, 224 nt
Filed under: uncultured bacterium
Lineage: Bacteria
Description: partial 16S ribosomal RNA
Rfam family: Bacterial small subunit ribosomal RNA
Source: RNAcentral